AGAGUUUGAUCCUGGCUCAGGACGAACGCUGGCGGCGUGCCUAAUACAUGCAAGUCGAGCGGACUUAGAGGAGCUUGCUCCUUUAAGUUAGCGGCGGACGGGUGAGUAACACGUGGGCAACCUGCCCUAUAGUUGGGGAUAACUCCGGGAAACCGGGGCUAAUACCGAAUGAUUCAUUUCAACUCCUGUUGAGAUGCUCA
Molecule: ribosomal RNA, 200 nt
Filed under: uncultured bacterium
Lineage: Bacteria
Description: partial 16S ribosomal RNA
Rfam family: Bacterial small subunit ribosomal RNA
Source: RNAcentral